AGGCUCACUAUUACCAAGCCGACCUCAUGAUGAUACGAUGUUUGGCUAGCAACAAUAAUAAUGAGAGAGUACGCUUACUCAUUUGCAACUAAUGCAAGUACCCAUCUUAUUUGGCCUCUAGAGAAUGUAACCUCACAAUGAUAUGAUGUUGGCUCCAUUGCACUUAGUUAAGUCAUUCCCACCAUGCUUAGUGCGUGAAGGGGUUCAAGAAUAGCCUCACGAUGAUAUGAUGUCGGCCAUCCUCGUUGCCUACACUCACCUCAUCAUAUGUGUAUGGAUUCCUCCUGAGUAUAAGCAUGCACUUUGUACUCCCCCAUGAUAGGGUUAAGCCGGUGUACAAGUCAUAAACGAUUGGAUCCCACCACGGUGGA
This 371-nucleotide long non-coding RNA is filed under the name Malus domestica (apple). Its description in RNAcentral is "long non-coding RNA (MDOM_LNC004510)". Lineage: Eukaryota; Viridiplantae; Streptophyta; Magnoliopsida; Rosales; Rosaceae. The record is from RNAcentral.